This 1437-nucleotide ribosomal RNA is filed under the name uncultured organism. RNAcentral describes it as "16S ribosomal RNA". It matches the Rfam family "Bacterial small subunit ribosomal RNA". The record is from RNAcentral.
CAGGCUUAACACAUGCAAGUCGAGGGGCAGCACAGGUAGCAAUACCGGGUGGCGACCGGCGCACGGGUGAGUAACGCGUAUGCAACUUACCUAUCAGAGGGGGAUAACCCGGCGAAAGUCGGACUAAUACCGCAUGAAGCAGGGGCCCCGCAUGGGGAUAUUUGCUAAAGAUUCAUCGCUGAUAGAUAGGCAUGCGUUCCAUUAGGCAGUUGGCGGGGUAACGGCCCACCAAACCGACGAUGGAUAGGGGUUCUGAGAGGAAGGUCCCCCACAUUGGUACUGAGACACGGACCAAACUCCUACGGGAGGCAGCAGUGAGGAAUAUUGGUCAAUGGCCGAGAGGCUGAACCAGCCAAGUCGCGUGAGAGAUGAAGGUUCUAUGGAUCGUAAACCUCUUUUAUAAGGGAAUAAAGUGCGGGACGUGUCCCGUUUUGUAUGUACCUUAUGAAUAAGGAUCGGCUAACUCCGUGCCAGCAGCCGCGGUAAUACGGAGGAUCCGAGCGUUAUCCGGAUUUAUUGGGUUUAAAGGGUGUGUAGGCGGCCUUUUAAGUCAGCGGUGAAAGUCUGUGGCUCAACCAUAGAAUUGCCGUUGAAACUGGGGGGCUUGAGUAUGUUUGAGGCAGGCGGAAUGCGUGGUGUAGCGGUGAAAUGCAUAGAUAUCACGCAGAACCCCGAUUGCGAAGGCAGCCUGCCAAGCCAUGACUGACGCUGAUGCACGAAAGCGUGGGGAUCAAACAGGAUUAGAUACCCUGGUAGUCCACGCAGUAAACGAUGAUCACUAGCUGUUUGCGAUACACUGUAAGCGGCACAGCGAAAGCGUUAAGUGAUCCACCUGGGGAGUACGCCGGCAACGGUGAAACUCAAAGGAAUUGACGGGGGCCCGCACAAGCGGAGGAACAUGUGGUUUAAUUCGAUGAUACGCGAGGAACCUUACCCGGGUUUGAACGCAUUCGGACCGAGGUGGAAACACCUUUUCUAGCAAUAGCCGUUUGCGAGGUGCUGCAUGGUUGUCGUCAGCUCGUGCCGUGAGGUGUCGGCUUAAGUGCCAUAACGAGCGCAACCCUUGCCACUAGUUACUAACAGGUGAUGCUGAGGACUCUGGUGGGACUGCCAGCGUAAGCUGCGAGGAAGGCGGGGAUGACGUCAAAUCAGCACGGCCCUUACAUCCGGGGCGACACACGUGUUACAAUGGCGUGGACAAAGGGAGGCCACCUGGCGACAGGGAGCGAAUCCCCAAACCACGUCUCAGUUCGGAUCGGAGUCUGCAACCCGACUCCGUGAAGCUGGAUUCGCUAGUAAUCGCGCAUCAGCCAUGGCGCGGUGAAUACGUUCCCGGGCCUUGUACACACCGCCCGUCAAGCCAUGGGAGCCGGGGGUACCUGAAGUCCGUAACCGCGAGGAUCGGCCUAGGGUAAAACUGGUGACUGGGGCUAAGUC